Molecule: ribosomal RNA, 484 nt
Filed under: uncultured bacterium
Lineage: Bacteria
Description: bacterial SSU rRNA
Rfam family: Bacterial small subunit ribosomal RNA
Source: RNAcentral
GGAUUAGGCAUGCAAGUCGAACGAGAACCCCGCAAGGGGUGAAAGUGGCAAACGGCGUAGUAAGGCGUAGGUGACGUACCUCCCGAUUCAGGAUAGCUACGGGAAACUGUAGGUAAUACUGGAUAACCCCUCCGAGAUUGAAAAUCGGAGUGCAAAGGUGUGAUUCCGUCAGGAGAGCGGCUUACGUGGUAUUAGCUAGUUGGUGAGGUAAUGGCUCACCAAGGCUUCGAUGCCUAGGGGGUGUUAGCGCAUGACCCCCACGACUGGGACUGAGAUACUGCCCAGACACCUACGGGUGGCUGCAGUCGAGAAUCUUCGGCAAUGGGCGCAAGCCUGACCGAGCGACGCCGCGUGUGGGAUGAAGGCCCUUGGGUUGUAAACCUCUUUUGUUCGGGAAGAAGUGCGAUCAGGUGAAUAAUCUGGUCGUUUGACGGUACCGGACGAAUAAGCUCCGGCUAACUCCGUGCCAGCAGCCGCGGUAAUA